UUUCGGUAGAAUUCUUAGUGGCGGACGGGUGAGUAACGCGUGAGUAACCUGCCUUGGAGUGGGGAAUAACAGCCGGAAACGGCUGCUAAUACCGCAUGAUGUAUCUGGAUCGCAUGGUUCUGGAUACCAAAGAUUUAUCGCUCUGAGAUGGACUCGCGUCUGAUUAGCUAGUUGGUGAGGUAAUGGCUCACCAAGGCGACGAUCAGUAGCCGGACUGAGAGGUUGGCCGGCCACAUUGGGACUGAGACACGGCCCAGACUCC
Molecule: ribosomal RNA, 262 nt
Filed under: uncultured Oscillospiraceae bacterium
Lineage: Bacteria; Bacillati; Bacillota; Clostridia; Eubacteriales; Oscillospiraceae
Description: partial 16S ribosomal RNA
Rfam family: Bacterial small subunit ribosomal RNA
Source: RNAcentral